RNAcentral lists this transfer RNA (75 nucleotides) under Megasphaera elsdenii. Its description in RNAcentral is "tRNA-Gly(gcc)". It matches the Rfam family "tRNA". Rfam says of the family: Transfer RNA (tRNA) molecules are approximately 80 nucleotides in length. Their secondary structure includes four short double-helical elements and three loops (D, anti-codon, and T loops). RNAcentral also lists the same sequence under 13 other names. Lineage: Bacteria; Bacillati; Bacillota; Negativicutes; Veillonellales; Veillonellaceae. The record is from RNAcentral.
GCGGAAGUAGCUCAGUGGUAGAGCAUCACCUUGCCAAGGUGGGGGUCGCGAGUUCGAGUCUCGUUUUCCGCUCCA